Carlito syrichta (Philippine tarsier) is the source of this 74-nucleotide small nucleolar RNA. Its record names the gene SNORD115. It matches the Rfam family "Small nucleolar RNA SNORD115". From Rfam's summary of the family: HBII-52 is a member of the C/D class of snoRNAs, which contain the C (UGAUGA) and D (CUGA) box motifs. The record is from Ensembl. NCBI's taxonomy places the organism in Eukaryota, Metazoa, Chordata, Mammalia, Primates, Tarsiidae.
GGGUCAAUGAUGAGCAUUUUAAAUUGCCUGGAGGAGCGGUGAUGACUGAAAGAUCACGCAUGACGCUGAGGCCC